UCCCGCUGCAGCCGCUCGCCUCGCCCUCGCAGCCGGCCACGCCCGCCACGCCCGCCUCCAUCCCCGACAUCAUACUCACAGGUCAGUCACCCGCAUGUCGCCGGCGCCAGUGCUUCACACAGACAAGACAGCGUCGCUGCGCCCUCCACCGCUCCACUGGCCCGAUACAAUGUAUUGCUGCCAUGCUUAUAAAGUCAAUAGUGUACCGUAGUGUGAUUUAAAGUUGAG
Molecule: long non-coding RNA, 228 nt
Organism: Melitaea cinxia (Glanville fritillary)
Lineage: Eukaryota; Metazoa; Arthropoda; Insecta; Lepidoptera; Nymphalidae
Exons: 2
Source: RefSeq, a predicted model, not a curated record